RNAcentral lists this ribosomal RNA (484 nucleotides) under uncultured bacterium. RNAcentral describes it as "partial 16S ribosomal RNA". It matches the Rfam family "Bacterial small subunit ribosomal RNA", at positions 30 to 507 of the family's 1533-position model. The record is from RNAcentral.
AUUGAACGCUGGCGGAAUGCUUUACACAUGCAAGUCGAACGGCAGCACGGGGGCAACCCUGGUGGCGAGUGGCGAACGGGUGAGUAAUACAUCGGAACGUGCCCGGUCGUGGGGGAUAACGUAGCGAAAGUUACGCUAAUACCGCAUACGAUCUGAGGAUGAAAGCGGGGGACCUUCGGGCCUCGCGCGAUCGGAGCGGCCGAUGUCAGAUUAGGUAGUUGGUGGGGUAAAGGCCUACCAAGCCGACGAUCUGUAGCUGGUCUGAGAGGACGACCAGCCACACUGGGACUGAGACACGGCCCAGACUCCUACGGGAGGCAGCAGUGGGGAAUUUUGGACAAUGGGCGCAAGCCUGAUCCAGCCAUUCCGCGUGCAGGACGAAGGCCUUCGGGUUGUAAACUGCUUUUGUAUGGAACGAAAAGGCUCUGGCUAAUACCUGGGGCUCAUGACGGUACCGUAAGAAUAAGCACCGGCUAACUGCGUG